This is a non-coding RNA of Triticum urartu, 2503 nucleotides long. The record is from RefSeq and is a predicted model, not a curated record. NCBI's taxonomy places the organism in Eukaryota, Viridiplantae, Streptophyta, Magnoliopsida, Poales, Poaceae.
AAACCCUGCCAGACAAAGAAAACAAUUACUUGAUAUCAGAAAUGAACAAAGUUGCUGAUAUGGUGGAUAAUGAUCGAUUUAACUUACUUCUUGAGCAUUUGAGUCAUGUCCGCAUACUCCUGGGGAUCUUUUCGUUUAGAGUUCAAAACAGUUACAACUCCCUUCUCAAGCUUAAUCUCUAGGAGAAUAUAGUGGAACCUGCGCACGCAUGCAUAACUCAUCAAUUACAUUACUAUAACCUUGACUAAUAUAUAAGGGAAACCGAAUAUGCAUAAGACAGUAACACUCACUUGAAGUUGUAAGGAAAGAGUAUUAUAUCUUUAUUUUCAUUUAUUACCAACGAUCGUAGCAAGUUGGCCUCGGUAUCUGCGGUAUGAAAUUUAACUUUGGUUGCAUCUAUGAGAUUUGUGUUAAUGAACCCAAUAUCACCACUACAAGAAAUCUGUUAAUCCAUGACGGAUUUCCGGUGACAUCUUCGAAAUCUGUCAUGGAUGGCCUGGUAGAACCCCGCAGGCCCGCUCAAGCCCACUCAAGCCCGCAUAACCAGCUCCCCGUAUAAAAAGCUAACCCUAAAACCACCUCCUCGGCCCCUCCUCUCUUCAUCCUCCGUAGCGGCGCAGCCAACUCUCUCUCGCCCCUCUCUUUCUCUCCCCCACGCGUCUCCUCGCCGCCGCCGCCCCAAUUCGAGCGACUUCCGACGGCUAUGGCCAGCGCGCGGCACACCCUCUUCUUCCCCUCACUCUGCUCCUUCCUCCCCUCGCCACCAGCGCUUGCCCGCAAGCCCUCCCCGUGGCUAGGGUUUCGGCGCCGGCGAGGCUUCAACGGAUCUGGCGGCUCAUCUCUGGCCACCGCGUGUUCCUCCACCACCGUCGGGCAGCUCGACCUGUGGUUGUCCUCCCCGACCGUCGGGCAGCUCGACCUGUGGUUGUCCUCCCCGACCGUCGGGCAGCUCGACCUGUGGUUGUCCUCCCCGACCGUCGGGCAGCUCGAUCUGUUGCUUCCUCCGUGAUAGCGCCACAACAAGGCCCACUGCUGCCCUUCCAGAUGCAGAGCAGCUCGACCUCAACUUCCCUCCCCGACUGUUGGAACUCGCGUUAGUGCACUACUCUAAUGCCGGAGCUUGCAUCGCUGUCCUCCCGCCACCACUGAAGUUGAGUGUCAAAGUUUGUGAAAUUUGCUUGAGGGCCAUCCGGUCAAGUACAUCAUGAAGAAAGGGAAGGGUACCCAGUAGAGACAGAAGGCACAUGUUCGUCAACCGGCUGCACUGUGCUAUGUGGACUUCUAUCAAGAUCAACUUUUGUUUAAUUUUCUACAAAUAUCUAAUUCAGUUUAGAUUUUUCUGACAGUUUCAUGUAUAUUUGUUCUCUAAAUCAAUAUAAUUAAGUGUUCUAUAUGCAUUCAGUUUAGUUUUCUAUCAAAAUAUAAUUCAGUAUGAAUCAAUGUAAUCAAGUGGUGAAUAAUUUCAUCAAAUAGGAGACAUGAUUUUUGUUAUACUGUAUUAAUAUGGUGACAUGUUCUAUUUAGAGUUUUCUAUUAAAAUAUAAUUCAGUAUGAAUCAAUGUAAUCAAGUGGUGAAUAAUUUCAUCAAAUAGGAGACAUGAUUUCUGUUCCUGUAUUAAUAUGGUGACAUGUUCAGUUUAGAGUUUUCUCCAUACACUUCUGUCCAUAUUGUCAACUGCAGCUUGGUGAAUAUAUAUAACCAGAAUUAAGUUUAAUCUGAAUCUAAGAAGAAAAAUACAUCGGUACAGUGUGGCAGUACUGCAGUUAUAAUACAGAGGUUUAAACCUGUUCAUUUGUGUACUAAGCAAAUGUAGUACUGCUACCAUUAGUUGUGCGCCUACUAAUACUAGAACCAAUGCCAUGUUAGUUCACUCUCCCUCAACCUGGAGGCACACACCAAGCUAGCACUUGCCAACACAGUGACACACAUUUCUUCUUCAACUCGUGUGCUCCCUGCGUCCAAGCCAGGUUGCCCUCCGCAAUAGUUUUGCCGAGAAGGGUUGAUGUCUACUGUCUGAUCCUAAAUCUUUUCCCUGAUGUUUUCCCUUUUUUACGAUCAAUUAACACUGUAAUCUCGCUGAUUAUGAUAUCUGUUUUUUUUGGAUGUAGGUCUAGGUGGUGUUGUAGCAGCCGUGCCGCUGCAUGGCGCACAAUAGAGCUCGAGAGGGCGGACGCGAUAACUGUUGGUGGAGCUGCUCCGUGAUCAACCAGGGGUAUGAUUGCGUACCAGGCUACUUGGUGCUGCCUAUCAAAAUUCGCACGACAUGAUAGUUUCCAUCAGGAGGGCCGAUGGCAAGAACUUGAAUAACAACUUCAAUAGUUUAGAUGUUCUGUUUGUGUGAACUGGAUUGUACUGUUUUCUAACUUUGCUAAGUGAUAUAUUUUAUUAAUCUAUGUUGUAAAUUAUCAUUUUGUGGAGGAAUUUGUAAAUUGCUAUGUUAUAGAUGCUUGCAGAUGACUGCAUAUAUUGAUUCAUAUGUGCACGUGAGGCACUUUGGAAAUA